RNAcentral lists this small RNA (27 nucleotides) under Bombyx mori (domestic silkworm). Its description in RNAcentral is "ovarian small RNA-9604". Lineage: Eukaryota; Metazoa; Arthropoda; Insecta; Lepidoptera; Bombycidae. The record is from RNAcentral.
UUCCUAAUCAAGAAGCCUCGACGAUCG